This 253-nucleotide ribosomal RNA is filed under the name uncultured bacterium. RNAcentral's name for it is "partial 16S ribosomal RNA". It matches the Rfam family "Bacterial small subunit ribosomal RNA", at positions 524 to 776 of the family's 1533-position model. The record is from RNAcentral.
UACGUAGGGUGCGAGCGUUGUCCGGAAUUAUUGGGCGUAAAGGGCUCGUAGGCGGUCUGUUGCGUCAGGAGUGAAAACUCGGGGCUUAACCCCGAGCCUGCUUCUGAUACGGGCAGACUAGAGGUAUGCAGGGGAGAACGGAAUUCCUGGUGUAGCGGUGAAAUGCGCAGAUAUCAGGAAGAACACCCGUGGCGAAGGCGGCUCUCUGGAACGCAACUGACGCUGAGACGCGAAAGCGUGGGGAGCAAACAGG